This 101-nucleotide Y RNA is filed under the name Cebus imitator (Panamanian white-faced capuchin). RNAcentral's name for it is "Y RNA (ENSCCAG00000008257.1)". It matches the Rfam family "Y RNA". Rfam says of the family: Y RNAs are components of the Ro ribonucleoprotein particle (Ro RNP), in association with Ro60 and La proteins. The record is from RNAcentral. Lineage: Eukaryota; Metazoa; Chordata; Mammalia; Primates; Cebidae.
GGCUGGUCCUAUGCAGCAGUGUUUACAACUAAUUGAUCACAACCGGUUACAGGUUUCUUUGUUCCUUUUCCACUCCUACUGCUUCAUUUGACUAGCAGUUC